Molecule: non-coding RNA, 516 nt
Organism: Oncorhynchus tshawytscha (Chinook salmon)
Lineage: Eukaryota; Metazoa; Chordata; Actinopteri; Salmoniformes; Salmonidae
Source: the annotation of a RefSeq genome assembly
AUGUUGUUCAUCUGGUCAUUUAUUAUGUUCUCAGUAAUAGGAGACACCUAUGAGCAGACUAUAGAGCCAAACCAACAUGAAGUGUAUGCAGAAGUGGGUAGUAAUGUUCUUCUUUCCUGCAACUACUCCUCAGCAAACACUCUACUAUGGUAUAAACAGUCUCCAGGAUCAGCUCCCCAAUACCUUCUGCUCAUCCCACACUACAGUGGGAUUGAACAGAGAGCUGAUUCUCUUGAUUCUCGCUUAUCUGGUAAACUGAACAAAGAGAAGACCCGUGUGGAUCUGGAGAUCUCUUCUGCUGAAGUGACAGACUCUGCUCUGUACUACUGUGCUCUGAGGCCCACAUUCCUCAUAGUGGACUACUCUGGGAUCAUAACCAACACUGAUAGUACAAAAUGGACCCUCACAAAUGAAAAAGAGGACAACCGUGUGGGUCUGGAGGUCUCCUCAGCUGAAGUGACAGAAAAACAUGUUUCCAUUGACAAAGUGGACAAACAUGUGGAUCUCUUCUGGUGA